This 636-nucleotide long non-coding RNA is filed under the name Musa acuminata (dwarf banana). Its description in RNAcentral is "long non-coding RNA (MACU_LNC008025)". Lineage: Eukaryota; Viridiplantae; Streptophyta; Magnoliopsida; Zingiberales; Musaceae. The record is from RNAcentral.
UGUCAAUAAUUAUGAUUAAGCUUGCAAUAAAGUGAAUCGAGAAGGUGGUGAUGGAAUGUGAUGAUGAUGGUGGUGGUGGUAAUGCACGCUCUCCAGCUUUUCUCUUCUCGCUGGUCUCCCUCUCUCGUAUGGAUGUCAGAAGACACAACUCCAUCGCCACCUCAACAACGCAAGGGAAAGCUGUAGAUCCUCAUCUUCCUCCAGGCACUGUUGCCUCCUGCAAGCUGGGUUGGAUUCUUUUCCUUUUGCUGACCUUUGUGUGUGUAUGCAUGAUUCCAGGCCCACGUACGUACCAGUCUCACUGCCACCAAAUGCAACAUCAUGAAAGAGAGAUGACAGCAAGCGAAGAGGAGGAAAGCAAGCCAUGAGAAAAAUUGGAGAACAGCCCUCAUCUCGCUCAUCUGCUGCACCAAAAAGCAUCAAGAUAAAGGCAAAUCUCUCAUUGGCCCCAUUGAGAAGCAUGCACUCACCAACACCUCCACACCCACCUCCUUAGAUUCCCCUCCCCACCUCCUUCCUCCUCCCACUCUUCCUCCCCCACUCUCAAAAGCUACAAAUUAGCCCGUCCCUCAGCUAAAUUCCAAUUCCUAGAUCCUCUCUCUCUCUCUCUCUCUCUCUCUCUCUCUCUCUCUCUCU